Molecule: long non-coding RNA, 259 nt
Filed under: Lathyrus oleraceus (garden pea)
Lineage: Eukaryota; Viridiplantae; Streptophyta; Magnoliopsida; Fabales; Fabaceae
Description: Pisum sativum (pea) long non-coding RNA (PSAT_LNC011247)
Source: RNAcentral
GAAAAUCAGUUUGGAAGUAAUAUUUGUGUAGAAUCAUCUCUUGAGGUUGUUAAUGGAGAGCAAUACUUAGAUUCGAGUAUUGCGGUUUGUGUACAUUUUAAGAUUGUAUUAAAUAAUGUUUGAAUUCACAUGUACCAUUUGAGAGAUUCGUAUGUACGAGUUGCGGAAAACAUAUGUAGAUGUUGAGGAUAAAUUAAGUGUACUCAUUAAACUACUAAUUUAUUAUUUAUUAUGCAUGUGUAUUUUGGGGAGACUGUCA